GCCCCGGUGAGCGAUCUUGUGCGCUCUCCGGAGGCGGGAGCGCAGGUUCGAAUCCUGCCGGGGCACCA
Molecule: transfer RNA, 68 nt
Filed under: Saccharothrix violaceirubra
Lineage: Bacteria; Bacillati; Actinomycetota; Actinomycetes; Pseudonocardiales; Pseudonocardiaceae
Description: tRNA-OTHER
Source: RNAcentral